UAGACAAUGUCAUGUGGUAGCACAAUGAGAACACAUUCAUACUUAAUAUCACAUGACAGCACAACGGGAAUACAUUCAUACUUUAUAUAAAUAUAUAAAUAUAAAUUUGGCCUAAGAUCCACAUAAAUGCUAGAGCUAUCUGGAAAAUGGAGGAAGCAGUCCCAUGCACACCACCGCCUGUUGGAAGGAGUAGCAAACUCUUCAGAAAAAGGCACAAAAUAGUCUUCACCCAAAGAUCUGCCUUUCUAGCACCGAACCAAGGCCAUAGAAGAUUAACUGAGCACAAAAACUCAAUGAUCUACGGGAAAGUGGACCAGCAGAGCUCGCUCAACUUCAACUUUGAGGGUUAGGUGGCCUUCAGAUGGCAUGGCUAUAGGACCCCUAAGGUGCAGAACCUCAUGACAUCACAGCACCCUCCCUCAUGAUACAGCCAAGGAACCCAGAGCUUCAACUCUCUCCAAGUCAUAGUCGAUUCCUUCAGAGAAUACACCAUAAAAGAAACCAUAAACACAGAUCUCAUGCAAGCAUCCUCUCUCAAAGAAACCCAGAUCUAUGAACUAAAUAUGUGGACAAACAAUGUUUACAACCCUAUCACGGUGAGGGGACAGUGAAAAACCCACAUUACCAGUCAGGAAGGAGCUCCCCCUGUUUGGAAGGGGCAAGUGAAGCUAUAGGUGUUGGUAGAAGAAACUAGCCGAG
This 699-nucleotide unclassified non-coding RNA is filed under the name Hevea brasiliensis (rubber tree). The record is from RNAcentral. Lineage: Eukaryota; Viridiplantae; Streptophyta; Magnoliopsida; Malpighiales; Euphorbiaceae.